UUGUAAUGUUGCUUUAUUCUGUAACAUCAUAUUGUAAUGUUGCCUUAUUGUUUAGAAGCCAUUUGAGUGACUUCAGCUUAUCAUGCUUCCUCAUGAUGGUUUAUUUUGCAGCUAUUGUGUACAAGGAAAUUCAUAUUUAGGAAAGGCAACAGCAACAUUGCCUUUACUUAACCAUUGUGUACUUAUUAUGUUUGAAAUAUGAGAAAUGUAAUGCUCAGUGUAAAAAUUGGUCACGAGUGUUUAAACUAUGAGUGGUCCACAUUAGGAAAAAUGAUGCCCAUUUGUCAAUUCAUGCUUACGGUACCACUUUAUAAAUCGUUCCUUAAAAUAGGUUAAUGACAUUUUAGUCAUUUGAUUUGGAUUUGGUUUGGAUUUGAUUUGGAUUGGGAUCCUAACAGUUAACUUCUUAUCCUUUGAUCAGGUCCAAGAGCUCGCUGGAAACAAGAGACAACAAGAAGAGCUGCAGGAAAACUCCCCUGCUGACGAUGAAUAGAUGAGGAUUUUGAAAAAAAAUGUAAUGACUAUUGAUUGUAGUAUGAUUUUUGUUCAUUCUAGAAUUUGUGUAAAUUUUUUGUUGUGUAAAUUUGUGUAAAUUUGUUUUUUUGCCAAGUUCUUUGAACCUGUCAAUACUCUUGUCAGGUUUGGAAUGAGAUAAUGCAUUGAUUGAAUUUGAUAUUUAGAAGUUGUGAGUGAAGAUACUAGUGUUCAUGGUUUACUAAUAUGAGGGAUAAUUCAUUUCAUAAGAAGCUGAAAGUAGCUUGUUUUGCUACUUGUAUAUACUGCUUGUAUCAACAUCAAUGAUAUUCAUCACUUGCAAUUGUUGGAGGAUGUGGCGAGCUACAGCACCACUACCCUUGCAGAAAUGUGGAGGACGACUUCCAUUUCUCUUACGCCCACUUUCUUCUGGAAUCCACCUACCCCAAUUCCUUGCCUAAGGGAGAUCGAUGAAUUGUCGAGAAGGGAUCUUGAACUGAGAAUUGAUCGGAGACGACCUGGCUCUGGUGGCGGGAACGGCGAGACUAUUUGAAGCUCGGAUCAAUCGAGAAUCGAUGUGUGAGGAACGAAGCAUCAUCGCCAUCUUCAAAGCGAUGCGAGCGCAGACCUGAGCUCGACGGCGAGUCUGAGCGGGGGCGGCGAGCUCUAAAGUCGGCGAUUUCGGGCGGUGGAAAGGAGGAGGUCGAGGUGAUGGCGAGGGCGAGGGUGAUGAGCUGGCGGCGAUGCUGAGCGGGGGCGAGGGGAUGUCGAUGGUGGCGAGCUUCGGCGAGCUUCGGGCGGUGAUCGGAGGUUGGACGUUCGUCGGCGGUAGAAAUUAGGCUUGAUUUGGGGCUUUUUUUUGAGGGUUCGGGACAAUUGCAAAAAUGCCGUCGACGAUUUUGGGGGAGCUCCGAUUUUGGGGCUGCUGUUGAUUUGGGGGGAGGGGUGACGUUGACAGAGGAGGAAGGGAGGGAGGGAACUCGGGGUCCGACGUUGGGAGGGAGGCGGAGUUGGUCGAGCUCGAUC
Molecule: long non-coding RNA, 1500 nt
Organism: Asparagus officinalis (garden asparagus)
Lineage: Eukaryota; Viridiplantae; Streptophyta; Magnoliopsida; Asparagales; Asparagaceae
Exons: 2
Source: RefSeq, a predicted model, not a curated record